This 490-nucleotide ribosomal RNA is filed under the name uncultured bacterium. RNAcentral's name for it is "partial 16S ribosomal RNA". It matches the Rfam family "Bacterial small subunit ribosomal RNA", at positions 30 to 507 of the family's 1533-position model. The record is from RNAcentral.
AUUGAACGCUGGCGGCAGGCCUAACACAUGCAAGUCGAACGGUAACAGGAAGAAGCUUACUUCUUUGCUGACGAGUGGCGGACGGGUGAGUAAUGUCUGGGAAACUGCCUGAUGGAGGGGGAUAACUACUGGAAACGGUAGCUAAUACCGCAUAACGUCGCAAGACCAAAGAGGGGGACCUUCGGGCCUCUUGCCAUCGGAUGUGCCCAGAUGGGAUUAGCUAGUAGGUGGGGUAGCGGCUCACCUAGGCGACGAUCCCUAGCUGGUCUGAGAGGAUGACCAGCCACACUGGAACUGAGACACGGUCCAGACUCCUACGGGAGGCAGCAGUGGGGAAUAUUACACAAUGGGCGCAAGCCUGAUGCAGCCAUGCCGCGUGUAUGAAGAAGGCCUUCGGGUUGUAAAGUACUUUCAGCGGGGAGGAAGGGAGUAAAGUUAAUACCUUUGCUCAUUGACGUUACCCGCAGAAGAAGCACCGGCUAACUCCGUG